Molecule: ribosomal RNA, 375 nt
Filed under: uncultured bacterium
Lineage: Bacteria
Description: bacterial SSU rRNA
Rfam family: Bacterial small subunit ribosomal RNA
Source: RNAcentral
GACGAACGCUGGCGGCGUGCUUAACACAUGCAAGUCGAGCGGAAAGGCCCUUUCGGGGGUACUCGAGCGGCGAACGGGUGAGUAACACGUGAGUAACCUGCCCUGGACUUUGGGAUAACCCUCGGAAACGGGGGCUAAUACCGGAUACAACACUCUCCUGCAUGGGAUGGGUGUGGAAAGUUUUUUCGGUCUGGGAUGGGCUCGCGGCCUAUCAGCUUGUUGGUGGGGUGAUGGCCUACCAAGGCGACGACGGGUAGCCGGCCUGAGAGGGCGACCGGCCACACUGGGACUGAGACACGGCCCAGACUCCUACGGGAGGCAGCAGUGGGGAAUAUUGCACAAUGGGCGGAAGCCUGAUGCAGCGACGCCGCGUGA